AAAGGAUGUGUAUGAAACACAAGAUGGCCAAGAAGUAUAUGAAAAAUUAAACUAACACUAUCAGUUCAGCUUUGCUUAA
Non-coding RNA from Choloepus hoffmanni (Hoffmann's two-fingered sloth), 79 nucleotides. Lineage: Eukaryota; Metazoa; Chordata; Mammalia; Pilosa; Megalonychidae. The record is from Rfam.